GAGUUUGAUCCUGGCUCAGAGUGAACGCUGGCGGCGUGCCUAAUACAUGCAAGUCGAACGAUGAAGCUUCUAGCUUGCUAGAAGUGGAUUAGUGGCGCACGGGUGAGUAACGCAUAGGUUAUGUGCCUCUUAGUUUGGGAUAGCCAUUGGAAACGAUGAUUAAUACCAGAUACUCCCUACGGGGGAAAGAUUUAUCGCUAAGAGAUCAGCCUAUGUCCUAUCAGCUUGUUGGUAAGGUAAUGGCUUACCAAGGCUAUGACGGGUAUCCGGCCUGAGAGGGUGAACGGACACACUGGAACUGAGACACGGUCCAGACUCCUACGGGAGGCAGCAGUAGGGAAUAUUGCUCAAUGGGGGAAACCCUGAAGCAGCAACGCCGCGUGGAGGAUGAAGGUUUUAGGAUUGUAAACUCCUUUUGUUAGAGAAGAUAAUGACGGUAUCUAACGAAUAAGCACCGGCUAACUCCGUGCCAGCAGCCGCGGUAAUACGGAGGGUGCAAGCGUUACUCGGAAUCACUGGGCGUAAAGAGCGCGUAGGCGGGAUAGUCAGUCAGGUGUGAAAUCCUAUGGCUUAACCAUAGAACUGCAUUUGAAACUACUAUUCUAGAGUGUGGGAGAGGUAGGUGGAAUUCUUGGUGUAGGGGUAAAAUCCGUAGAGAUCAAGAGGAAUACUCAUUGCGAAGGCGACCUGCUGGAACAUUACUGACGCUGAUUGCGCGAAAGCGUGGGGAGCAAACAGGAUUAGAUACCCUGGUAGUCCACGCCCUAAACGAUGGAUGCUAGUUGUUGGAGGGCUUAGUCUCUCCAGUAAUGCAGCUAACGCAUUAAGCAUCCCGCCUGGGGAGUACGGUCGCAAGAUUAAAACUCAAAGGAAUAGACGGGGACCCGCACAAGCGGUGGAGCAUGUGGUUUAAUUCGAAGAUACACGAAGAACCUUACCUAGGCUUGACAUUGAGAGAAUCCGCUAGAAAUAGUGGAGUGUCUGGCUUGCUAGACCUUGAAAACAGGUGCUGCACGGCUGUCGUCAGCUCGUGUCGUGAGAUGUUGGGUUAAGUCCCGCAACGAGCGCAACCCCCUUUCUUAGUUGCUAAUAGGUCAUGCUGAGAACUCUAAGGAUACUGCCUCCGUAAGGAGGAGGAAGGUGGGGACGACGUCAAGUCAUCAUGGCCCUUACGCCUAGGGCUACACACGUGCUACAAUGGGGUGCACAAAGAGAAGCAAUACUGCGAAGUGGAGCCAAUCUUCAAAACGCCUCUCAGUUCGGAUUGUAGGCUGCAACUCGCCUGCAUGAAGCUGGAAUCGCUAGUAAUCGCAAAUCAGCCAUGUUGCGGUGAAUACGUUCCCGGGUCUUGUACUCACCGCCCGUCACACCAUGGGAGUUGUGUUUGCCUUAAGUCAGGAUGCUAAAUUAGCUACUGCCCACGGCACACACAGCGACUGGGGUGAAGUCGUAACAAGGUAACCGUAGGUGAACCUGCGGUUGGAUCACC
This 1489-nucleotide ribosomal RNA is filed under the name Helicobacter pylori Hp H-44. RNAcentral describes it as "bacterial SSU rRNA". It matches the Rfam family "Bacterial small subunit ribosomal RNA". The record is from RNAcentral. Lineage: Bacteria; Pseudomonadati; Campylobacterota; Epsilonproteobacteria; Campylobacterales; Helicobacteraceae.